CCUACGGGUGGCAGCAGUGAGGAAUAUUUUUCAAUUUACUAUAUUCUUAACCAUCCAAUUAUCUUUAAUGAUUACUUCCCUAUUUGUUUUAAACUUCUUUUAUAUGGGAAUAAAAUGUUCCACGUGUGGGAUUUUGUAUGUACCAUAUGAAUAAGGAUCGGCUAACUCCGUGCCAGCAGCCGCGGUAAUACGGAGGAUCCGAGCGUUAUCCGGAUUUAUUGGGUUUAAAGGGAGCGUAGGUGGAUUGUUAAGUCAGUUGUGAAAGUUUGCGGCUCAACCGUAAAAUUGCAGUUGAAACUGGCAGUCUUGAGUACAGUAGAGGUGGGCGGAAUUCGUGGUGUAGCGGUGAAAUGCUUAGAUAUCACGAAGAACUCCGAUUGCGAAGGCAGCUCACUGGACUGCAACUGACACUGAGGCUCGAAAGUGUGGGUAUCAAACAGGAUUAGAUACCCUGGUAGUC
Molecule: ribosomal RNA, 460 nt
Filed under: uncultured bacterium
Lineage: Bacteria
Description: partial 16S ribosomal RNA
Rfam family: Bacterial small subunit ribosomal RNA
Source: RNAcentral